RNAcentral lists this long non-coding RNA (451 nucleotides) under Rosa chinensis. Its description in RNAcentral is "sRNA RchiOBHm_Chr1g0344061". Lineage: Eukaryota; Viridiplantae; Streptophyta; Magnoliopsida; Rosales; Rosaceae. The record is from RNAcentral.
AUUUUCUCCCUCAGCCGCGUUCUUCCCUCUCUUUCCCUCCACGACCUCUCGCUCUCUCUCUUCCUUCCUCCCUCUGCCAUCAUCGGAAAGCACAUAUCCGGCCACCAUCUCACCACACUGCCUCCACCAAUCGAUGCAGCGCCCAAAACCGACCCUAACCCGGGGCUCGCCGUCGACAUGCACCGCCUCCGGCCUCCACCCGCGACCACCAAAGCUGCGACGCUGCUGUCUCCCCUAGUCCUCUGAUUUCCAGCUAUCGAUUCAAACCACCACUAUCAUGAAUCGAAGCACCAAGUCCUAGAAAGCAGAAACCAAACCGUGGCCUCAAACUCCAACGCCGGAAAACGCCGCACGAGCUCGCCGGAAACCGUAGCUCUGCAUGUCUUCGUCUUCCGACCUCCAGUCUAAAUCGAGCGAAACCACUUUAGAGUCUCUAAUUUACUAGGGCCGA